Molecule: transfer RNA, 77 nt
Filed under: Acidobacteriota bacterium
Lineage: Bacteria; Pseudomonadati; Acidobacteriota
Also listed under: 2 other names
Description: tRNA-Val
Rfam family: tRNA
About the family: Transfer RNA (tRNA) molecules are approximately 80 nucleotides in length. Their secondary structure includes four short double-helical elements and three loops (D, anti-codon, and T loops). Further hydrogen bonds mediate the characteristic L-shaped molecular structure. tRNAs have two regions of fundamental functional importance: the anti-codon, which is responsible for specific mRNA codon recognition, and the 3' end, to which the tRNAs corresponding amino acid is attached (by aminoacyl-tRNA synthetases). tRNAs cope with the degeneracy of the genetic code in two manners: having more than one tRNA (with a specific anti-codon) for a particular amino acid; and 'wobble' base-pairing, i.e. permitting non-standard base-pairing at the 3rd anti-codon position.
Source: RNAcentral
GGGCGAUUAGCUCAUUUGGCUAGAGCGCAACAUUGACGUUGUUGAGGUGAUAGGUUCGAAUCCUAUAUCGCCCACCA